Molecule: transfer RNA, 75 nt
Filed under: Thermodesulfatator sp.
Lineage: Bacteria; Pseudomonadati; Thermodesulfobacteriota; Thermodesulfobacteria; Thermodesulfobacteriales; Thermodesulfatatoraceae
Also listed under: 1 other name
Description: tRNA-Val
Rfam family: tRNA
About the family: Transfer RNA (tRNA) molecules are approximately 80 nucleotides in length.
Source: RNAcentral
AGGCGCGUAGCUCAGCGGGAGAGCGCUGCCUUGACGCGGCAGAGGUCGGCGGUUCGAAACCGCCCGCGCCUACCA